CGGGAUGUAGCGCAGUUUGGUAGCGCACAUGUAUGGGGUGCAUGGGGCCGAAGGUUCAAAUCCUUUCAUCCCGACCA
This 77-nucleotide transfer RNA is filed under the name Peptoniphilus sp. oral taxon 386 str. F0131. RNAcentral describes it as "tRNA-Pro". It matches the Rfam family "tRNA". Rfam says of the family: Transfer RNA (tRNA) molecules are approximately 80 nucleotides in length. Their secondary structure includes four short double-helical elements and three loops (D, anti-codon, and T loops). The record is from RNAcentral. Lineage: Bacteria; Bacillati; Bacillota; Tissierellia; Tissierellales; Peptoniphilaceae.